RNAcentral lists this unclassified non-coding RNA (391 nucleotides) under soil metagenome. RNAcentral's name for it is "partial contains 5.8S ribosomal RNA, internal transcribed spacer 2, and large subunit ribosomal RNA". The stretch from base 1 to 122 matches the Rfam family "5.8S ribosomal RNA", at positions 35 to 154 of the family's 154-position model. The record is from RNAcentral.
GAUGAAGAACGCAGCGAAAUGCGAUACUUGGUGUGAAUUGCAGAAUCCCGUGAACCAUCGAGUCUUUGAACGCAAGUUGCGCCCGAAGCCAUUAGGCCGAGGGCACGCCUGCCUGGGCGUCACACGUCGUUGCCCCCCCAUCUACUCCUUCGGGAUUGCGGGGGGCGGAUGAUGGCCUCCCGUGCGCCUCGUCGCGCGGUUGGCAUAAAUGCCAAGUCCUCGGCGACACACGACACGACAAUCGGUGGUUGCGAAACCUCGGUUGCCCGUCGUGUGCGGUCGUCGCGCAUCGAGGGCUCGAAAAAAUUGCCGGGCUCCGGCUCGGCUUUCAACGCGACCCCAGGUCAGGCGGGGUUACCCGCUGAAUUUAAGCAUAUCAAUAAGCGGAGGA